GAGGGAGAAGCACUGCGGGCUUCUUAGCGGACAACGACCACCCAUCUUCCAGCACUGUCUUGCAGUUAGUAAUGGCCGCCUUCCUCAUCAUGAAGUUGUCCACCGUACCUGCAUAAACAGAAAUGAAGUCGAAGAAACUUAGUAAUAGCUCGAACAAUCAGAAAGAUAGAGAGACUCUUAUCUCAAGGCUAAGCAGGACUUAGCCCCAUAUUGAC
This 215-nucleotide long non-coding RNA is filed under the name Elaeis guineensis (African oil palm). Its description in RNAcentral is "long non-coding RNA (EGUI_LNC005526)". The record is from RNAcentral. Lineage: Eukaryota; Viridiplantae; Streptophyta; Magnoliopsida; Arecales; Arecaceae.